GUGGUCGACGAUGACGACCUCAUCAGCUACAUCAUCGCCGGCCUCGACGAGGAUUACGAGCCUGUGAUCCAAUCCAUUGUCGGGCGCCCAGACCAAGUCUCUGUCUGCUAGGCCUUUGCUCAGCUUUUAAGCUUCGAGC
This is a non-coding RNA of Oryza meridionalis, 139 nucleotides long. Lineage: Eukaryota; Viridiplantae; Streptophyta; Magnoliopsida; Poales; Poaceae. The record is from Rfam.